This 249-nucleotide ribosomal RNA is filed under the name uncultured Syntrophaceae bacterium. RNAcentral's name for it is "partial 16S ribosomal RNA". It matches the Rfam family "Bacterial small subunit ribosomal RNA", at positions 796 to 1041 of the family's 1533-position model. Lineage: Bacteria; Pseudomonadati; Thermodesulfobacteriota; Syntrophia; Syntrophales; Syntrophaceae. The record is from RNAcentral.
CACGCCGUAAACGAUGUUCACUAGGUGUUGGGGGUAUUGACCCCCUCAGUGCCGAAGCUAACGCAUUAAGUGAACCGCCUGGGGAGUACGGCCGCAAGGCUAAAACUCAAAGGAAUUGACGGGGGCCCGCACAAGCGGUGGAGCAUGUGGUUUAAUUCGAUGCAACGCGAAGAACCUUACCUGGGUUUGACAUCCCGGGAAUCCCCUGGAAACAGGGGAGUGCCCUUCGGGGAGCCCGGAGACAGGUGC